AUUAACAUACACACAUCCAUGGAGUGACUACAACCAUAGAAUGUAAGUGAGCAUAGAUCAAGAAAUUGACUUCAUUUCACUUCAAAUUUUGAGUUACAGCAGAAUGAGUUCAAAUAGUAUACCUAGAAUUUGUGAUUGAAAUGAAAUAGAAGAAAGUCAGCUGAAUCAAUGCACGAGCAGCACUAGCAGUAAGCAAUUUUCAGCAGUACAGAUCAAGAAAUAGCCUAGAGAACGAAUAUAGAAAUCCCAGGAAGGUUCAGAACUCAAAUGAAACUAGCGGAUUAAACCAAAACACUUGAAAUGCACUCAGUUAUACUAGAAAGGCAUCAUCACACUUUCACGGAUCCAAAUCUCAAUCAAACACAAUCUAAUUAGGCUCAUAAACUGCUCCAAAUCACCCAGCAACCAUUCUGAACAUCAACAAUCAAAGAGUAAACUAGAGGAUGUGAAUUAAUAACUAGAACAUCAACAUCAGCCUACAGUUUCCAAUGAAAGAAUGAUAUUUUUUUAUUUUGAGUUUUUGUUUUUUUUUUUUUUGAAAUCUGAAUUUCUACUUCUGAUCUGAGGCAAAGGUGAUGCCCUUUUAUAGGCACCAAGGGAGCCUCAUCAUAUUUUAGU
Molecule: long non-coding RNA, 618 nt
Filed under: Nicotiana benthamiana
Lineage: Eukaryota; Viridiplantae; Streptophyta; Magnoliopsida; Solanales; Solanaceae
Description: long non-coding RNA (NBEN_LNC019540)
Source: RNAcentral